This 497-nucleotide ribosomal RNA is filed under the name uncultured bacterium. RNAcentral describes it as "partial 16S ribosomal RNA". It matches the Rfam family "Bacterial small subunit ribosomal RNA", at positions 28 to 507 of the family's 1533-position model. The record is from RNAcentral.
GAUGAACGCUGGCGGCGUGCCUAAUACAUGCAAGUAGAACGCUGAAGGAAGGAGCUUGCUCUUUCCGGAUGAGUUGCGAACGGGUGAGUAACGCGUAGGUAACCUGCCUGGUAGCGGGGGAUAACUAUUGGAAACGAUAGCUAAUACCGCAUAACAGUAGAUGUUGCAUGAUAUCUACUUAAAAGGUGCAAUUGCACCACUAACAGAUGGACCUGCGUUGUAUUAGCUAGUUGGUGAGGUAACGGCUCACCAAGGCGACGAUACAUAGCCGACCUGAGAGGGUGGUCGGCCACACUGGGACUGUGACACGGCCCAUACUCAUACGGGAGGCAGCAGUAGGGAAUCUUCGGCAAGAGGCGGAAGUCUGGCCGAGCAACGCCGCGUGAGUGAAGAAGGUUUUCGGAUCGGAAAGCUCGGUUGUAAGAGAAGAACGAGUGUGAGAGUGGAAAGUUCACACUGUGACGGUAUCUUACCAGAAAGGGACGGCUAACUACGUG